CUGAGCACACGCCGCGUGUAUGAUGAAGGCCUUCGGAUUGUAAAGUUCUGUCUUCGGGGACGAUAAUGACGGUACCAAAUGAGGAAGCCACGGCAUAACUACCUGCCGACAACCGCCCUAAUACCUACGUGGCAACCGUCGUCCUGAUUUACUGGGCGUAAACGAUGCCUAGGCUGACAUUUAAUUCAGAUGUGAAAUACCCAAACUUAACUUGGGUGCUGCAUUUCAAACUGCGUGUCUAAAAUGCCAGAGAAGACAGUGGAAUUCCUAGAGUAGCGAUGAAAUGCGUAUACAUUAUGAAGAACACCAAUGCGCGAAAGCGACUUACUGCACUGUAACUGACGCUGACGCUUGAAAACGUGGGGAGCACACAGAUUAGAUACCCUGGUGAUCCACGCCGAUAACAAUCACUGCUAGGCGUCGCGGUGUCCAACCACUGCGCCGCAGUUACACAAUCAAUAUCCUCCCUGCCGAGUACGAUCGCUAGAUU
RNAcentral lists this ribosomal RNA (490 nucleotides) under uncultured bacterium. RNAcentral describes it as "bacterial SSU rRNA". It matches the Rfam family "Bacterial small subunit ribosomal RNA", at positions 387 to 895 of the family's 1533-position model. The record is from RNAcentral.